GAGUUUGAUCAUGGCUCAGAUUGAACGCUGGCGGCAGGCCUAACACAUGCAAGUCGAGCGGAUGACGGGAGCUUGCUCCUUGAUUCAGCGGCGGACGGGUGAGUAAUGCCUAGGAAUCUGCCUGGUAGUGGGGGACAACGUUUCGAAAGGAACGCUAAUACCGCAUACGUCCUACGGGAGAAAGCAGGGGACCUUCGGGCCUUGCGCUAUCAGAUGAGCCUAGGUCGGAUUAGCUAGUUGGUGGGGUAAUGGCUCACCAAGGCGACGAUCCGUAACUGGUCUGAGAGGAUGAUCAGUCACACUGGAACUGAGACACGGUCCAGACUCCUACGGGAGGCAGCAGUGGGGAAUAUUGGACAAUGGGCGAAAGCCUGAUCCAGCCAUGCCGCGUGUGUGAAGAAGGUCUUCGGAUUGUAAAGCACUUUAAGUUGGGAGGAAGGGCAGUAAGUUAAUACCUUGCUGUUUUGACGUUUA
This 474-nucleotide ribosomal RNA is filed under the name bacterium enrichment culture clone ALO1_GLFRUDD03HH3DK. Its description in RNAcentral is "bacterial SSU rRNA". It matches the Rfam family "Bacterial small subunit ribosomal RNA", at positions 9 to 478 of the family's 1533-position model. The record is from RNAcentral.